This 669-nucleotide ribosomal RNA is filed under the name Xanthomonas sp. EECC-365. RNAcentral describes it as "bacterial SSU rRNA". It matches the Rfam family "Bacterial small subunit ribosomal RNA", at positions 92 to 757 of the family's 1533-position model. Lineage: Bacteria; Pseudomonadati; Pseudomonadota; Gammaproteobacteria; Lysobacterales; Lysobacteraceae. The record is from RNAcentral.
CGAGUGGCGGACGGGUGAGGAAUACAUCGGAAUCUACUCUUUCGUGGGGGAUAACGUAGGGAAACUUACGCUAAUACCGCAUACGACCUACGGGUGAAAGCGGAGGACCUUCGGGCUUCGCGCGAUUGAAUGAGCCGAUGUCGGAUUAGCUAGUUGGCGGGGUAAAGGCCCACCAAGGCGACGAUCCGUAGCUGGUCUGAGAGGAUGAUCAGCCACACUGGAACUGAGACACGGUCCAGACUCCUACGGGAGGCAGCAGUGGGGAAUAUUGGACAAUGGGCGCAAGCCUGAUCCAGCCAUGCCGCGUGGGUGAAGAAGGCCUUCGGGUUGUAAAGCCCUUUUGUUGGGAAAGAAAAGCAGUCGGUUAAUACCCGAUUGUUCUGACGGUACCCAAAGAAUAAGCACCGGCUAACUUCGUGCCAGCAGCCGCGGUAAUACGAAGGGUGCAAGCGUUACUCGGAAUUACUGGGCGUAAAGCGUGCGUAGGUGGUGGUUUAAGUCUGUUGUGAAAGCCCUGGGCUCAACCUGGGAAUUGCAGUGGAUACUGGGUCACUAGAGUGUGGUAGAGGGUAGCGGAAUUCCCGGUGUAGCAGUGAAAUGCGUAGAGAUCGGGAGGAACAUCCGUGGCGAAGGCGGCUACCUGGACCAACACUGACACUGAGGCACGAA